CGAGACCUUCGGGUCUAGUGGCGCACGGGUGCGUAACGCGUGGGAAUCUGCCCUUAGGUACGGAAUAACUCAGAGAAAUUUGUGCUAAUACCGUAUGAUGUCGAAAGACCAAAGAUUUAUCGCCUAAGGAUGAGCCCGCGUAAGAUUAGCUUGUUGGUGAGGUAAAAGCUCACCAAGGCGACGAUCUUUAGCUGGUCUGAGAGGAUGAUCAGCCACACUGGGACUGAGACACGGCCCAGACUCCUACGGGAGGCAGCAGUGGGGAAUAUUGGACAAUGGGCGAAAGCCUGAUCCAGCAAUGCCGCGUGAGUGAUGAAGGCCUUAGGGUUGUAAAGCUCUUUUACCAGGGAUGAUAAUGACAGUACCUGGAGAAUAAGCUCCGGCUAACUCCGUGCCAGCAGCCGCGGUAGUACGGAGGGAGCUAGCGUUGUUCGGAAUUACUGGGCGUAAAGAGUACGUAGGCGGUGAUUCAAGUCAGAGGUGAAAGCCUGGAGCUCAACUC
RNAcentral lists this ribosomal RNA (502 nucleotides) under uncultured Sphingomonadales bacterium. Its description in RNAcentral is "bacterial SSU rRNA". It matches the Rfam family "Bacterial small subunit ribosomal RNA", at positions 67 to 615 of the family's 1533-position model. The record is from RNAcentral. Lineage: Bacteria; Pseudomonadati; Pseudomonadota; Alphaproteobacteria; Sphingomonadales.